GUCCACCCACGGAUUGGGACUGGGGAUGGGGACAGGAGUACAGGUUCAUGUUCAUUUGGCACACUGUAGCAAAAUGUUUUGCAACCGGAAACUAAAACGAGCAUUUUUUAUUGGACAAGUUCAGUAUGUGUCUUUCAAAUCUGAGGACAAGUGUCUCCUGUCGCCUUCUUCACCAUAGAACAUUGUUGAUUCCACCCCUUUUUCAGGACAAGAUAGACAGAUGGUCGCAUGCGGUUGGACACAUGGAGGAGAGAAUCAUUUUCGCAGUUUCCUCAAAACCGUGUCUUUUUGACACUACUGCUGACAGCUACAGGGACAUAAACACAACAAAAAUUAUGCUUGGAGACAAGUGUCCAUGAUAGUAGGAUUGCCAGGUCAGUUUAGUAGUGAGCUUGUGCUAGAUGUGGCUAGUUAACGUGACCCACAACAAUGGGUCCUGGAGAAGACUAGCCUACCUUCAUCAGAGCAGAAGGCACCCCAAUUUUCUUUUCAUUUGGUAACAUUGCA
RNAcentral lists this long non-coding RNA (507 nucleotides) under Salmo salar (Atlantic salmon). RNAcentral's name for it is "lncRNA (ENSSSAG00000082429.1, ENSSSAG00000121825.1)". The record is from RNAcentral. Lineage: Eukaryota; Metazoa; Chordata; Actinopteri; Salmoniformes; Salmonidae.